This 198-nucleotide unclassified non-coding RNA is filed under the name plant metagenome. Its description in RNAcentral is "partial contains small subunit ribosomal RNA and internal transcribed spacer 1". The stretch from base 1 to 46 matches the Rfam family "Eukaryotic small subunit ribosomal RNA", at positions 1786 to 1831 of the family's 1831-position model. The record is from RNAcentral.
AAGUCGUAACAAGGUUUCCGUAGGUGAACCUGCGGAAGGAUCAUUAAUGAAUGUAAGGAUGCUCUUUUUAGAGGUCCGACCCAAUCAUUUUCCAACCCUGUGCACACACACUACUUUUUGAAUACACCAUUUUAAAAACCUCGUAAAAGUCUAUAAGGAUGUAAAAGUCUCUUCAUUGAGCAUAAAAUUAAAACAAAA